Molecule: long non-coding RNA, 2847 nt
Filed under: Salmo salar (Atlantic salmon)
Lineage: Eukaryota; Metazoa; Chordata; Actinopteri; Salmoniformes; Salmonidae
Description: lncRNA (ENSSSAG00000107751.1)
Source: RNAcentral
GUACUAUUUGGGAUGAAGUCCCUCUUUAAUUGAGUCCAUUCUGACUGUUUGGCAUGGAGUAAUGGAUACCUUCACACUACACUGGGUUCAUCUUCCAUUGGGCCCAGCUGUGAAAACCCCCUGAAUCCUCAUGGCAUUAACAGCUCAGGCUCACACUGCUGCAUGGCUCUCCAGCCUGCCUGCUGCUGCCUCAGGUUUCACCAUCACAUUACACUACACUACAACCACUACACCCAGUGGAGGCUGCUGAGGGGAGGACAACUCAUAGUAAUAAUGGUGACAGACAGUGACGCAUUCAAUACCGCCUUGCACACUCUUGCCUGAAUAUAGCUGAUCUAGGGUGUAAUCAUUAGUCCAAACAGUUGCAAACGAGAGUUUCUAUUGGACAAAUUCAGGUAGGUUUAUCCCCGUUUCGUUCUGUUUAUUUCCGUUUAAGAAACGGUUUUCAACAGAAUCGGUGGAAUGAAUACACCCCUAAUCACCCGCACACACAGUUCACUUUCAUAGCAGCCACAUACAAACAGAAUCAUCACUUUGCUCAUUGUAUAAUUCCUUCUCGCGUCUACGUGCUAUCCUCCCCUCACCUUUUCCCUUUCAGUGCACAACAGCUGUCUGUGACCAUGCAAAAAUAAACUUUCCAUGCCAAACCUUCAUGCCGUAAUCGCUAACCACUACACACAGCCUACAUCGUUGUCACCAUAUUAGCUAACGUCAUAGUCAACAUAGCUACUAGAACUAACACGUUAGUAAACCCGCUACAAUCACGCAGUACAGUGUACAGCAAGCAGUUUAGCAGUUACACCAGCGGGCCUCAUGGCAAUACAUUAAUUAAACCGCUUACCUUGACUUGGAAGAGUUCCAGUGUUGGCUAGCCUUAGCCAGAUAGCUAACAUAGAUAGCAUGCUUCUGUUUGUGCUGGGUGUUUGAGUAGGCUAAAUUAGCUAACUGAAUUAGCUAGCUAAGUGAAUGAAAGGAAAAAUAAAAAAAUAAAUAGAGCUAGCUCUCGCUCUCUCUGCUGCUUCUCCUUCAUUUUUGCACUCAACAAAAAAAAGGCAGUGAAUGAUUUCUUAAAGAUCACUUUAAUCCAUUGUUCUAGGUUUUGUAUUGAAGUCAAUGUACCCAGAGGAGGACGGAAACUAGCUGUCCUCCGGCUACACCAUGGUGCUACCCCAGAGAGUUCUGUUGAGACUACUGUAGACCUUCAUUGCAAAACAGUGUGUUUUAAUCAGUUAUUUGGUGACAUGUGAAUAUAUUUAGUAUAGUAUCAUCUUAAAAGGAUAACCUUUAUAACGUUUCACUAUUUUUCAUGAAAUGACUGAGUAGGAUGGUCCUCCCCUCCUCUGAGGAGGUGCCUCCACUGCAGUAGAUAGAUAUCUGUGUAUGUGUGUUCUGUGGGAGUGCUGAGUAAAGUAUGGCUACAGAGGAAAAGGGAGAGAAGGAGAGAGAAGAGGAAAAUAGGGAUGGAAGAAAGGCUGGCUAUCAGAACUGUUUCUUAGAAAGUAUUGACAUUGGCCUGAUUCUCAAAGUUAUAUUGUUUUCAAAGCAAGCCACGUCCACCUCUCCCUCUUGCCCUCUCUCUUUCUCUGUACAGUGUUUCUGUACAGUAACAAACUGACUAUUUUUCAAUGGCCACUGUUAAAUCCACUCAGCACAGUAUGAAUUGCUCGACUCUUUUCCAUGUACCUUACAGAUUCUGUCUCAUUGUUGGACCUUUUAUUAGCAAAGGGAAAUGUUAAGGUGAUAGAGCUUGUGAGAUGGGAAUAAAGUGCAACUUUAUACAAUGAUUGUGUUUACUUUUCUUACAAACCAAUGGGGUGAUGAUGAUGCAAAACCAUCUGUUUUAAAGUUCAUGGGUUUAUGGGAGAAAUGUUCCUAGUACACUGCAGUUGGCAACGUGUUUCAUUGUGCUAUUUAUCAUUGGCCAACUUCAAUGCUGUUUCUCAAUUUGAAACAUUCUUUGUUGUUUUUGUCAUGGAAAAAUACUUUAGUCUUUUUGGAGAUGUCUCGUAUUGGGCUUACAUUUGAAAGUUUACGUUGCAAACCUUUUUUAUCAGGAAUAUUUUCUUUUGAAAAGAUAAGGUAUAAUUUUUGUAAACUUGUUUUUUUUAAGAAAGGCACUUUAUUAAAAGCAUAAGUAAGUAAUAUACAUGUAUAUACAAACUCAUAAUGAAAUAUAUACUGUAUGUAAUACACAGUGCAGUGUACCAACAUCUUUGUAAAUCAUUUAGUUUUUAUAGCUAAUUGUAAAGGGUAUGUAUUUUUUUCAGCAUGUGCCAUGUUUUUUAUCUCGGUCUUAGAUCAAUUUUUUUGUAUAGUAUUUAUUGAAAUUAAUCGUAUGAAGAUGACUAUUGAGAGCAUCCCCAAUGUGGUCUCUGUUACAUGAAAAGGGAAUGUGUUCACUCUAUACCAGUGUUUCUCCCAUUGAUAUAGAACAUUGAUACACCCCUAAUACGCGGACUGUUACUGUUUCUAACCAGUCCCUCAGAUGGUUAGCUAACAACGAUUUAAUCAGUUCUCAAUUGCUAGUGUUGGGCCUAGAUUCGCUAGAUCCUUGUUAGCGCACUUUACAUUUAAAGGUAAUUUCUAUUGAGACGACAUCUGCAGCGUUUACCUUGAUGCGAUCUCCACUUACUCGGUAACAUUGCCUUUAAUAACUGCUUUGUCUACAAAACGCAGAUUGAAUCAUAUUGAAUCCCAGCCAUAAUCUGAGAGAUCAUAUAAAAGGUUGAGAAACACUGCUCUCUAACACCACACCACGUAACCCUCAAUCAAUCAACUGCUCAGCAUUCUUCUCUGUGAUUUAUAAAUGUGCUGUGACAAAAUAUAAUAAAUUUAACUUUGCCACAA